RNAcentral lists this small RNA (28 nucleotides) under Bombyx mori (domestic silkworm). Its description in RNAcentral is "ovarian small RNA-5867". The record is from RNAcentral. Lineage: Eukaryota; Metazoa; Arthropoda; Insecta; Lepidoptera; Bombycidae.
UAAUUAACCAUGCCUAAAAAUCUCUCAC